This 380-nucleotide unclassified non-coding RNA is filed under the name Bombus terrestris (buff-tailed bumblebee). RNAcentral's name for it is "misc RNA ENSBTSG00005033502.1". The record is from RNAcentral. Lineage: Eukaryota; Metazoa; Arthropoda; Insecta; Hymenoptera; Apidae.
UAAAUAAUAUAAAUAACAUGGCACUUGAAAACGGACAAAAUAAUAAUGAGUCAAUCGUAAUUCGAGAUAUUCAGAUUGACACAACUGAUUGCACUGUGGACUGCAAUUGUUCGAUAUUUUCAUGUAAUUUAAAAUGUUCCUUGCCUCGGUAGGAUAUUCCAGAGCUGAGUAAACGAGAAAUGCGGAAAUCACAGAGAAAUCUUAUAUCCGCGCGCAACAUCGAUUCGUUUACGAUAACAAAGAAAGGGACUUUUGUCAACGUGGAAAUAAUUCAAUGUAUGGUAAACAAACAAUCUUGGGAAACAAUUCAAGCACGUGAAGAGUCAACAAGGACCAAGAUUCAAUGGUAGCGUUCCGAUGCACCAAAAUCAAACGCGACA